AACGCUAGCUACAGGCUUAACACAUGCAAGUUGAGGGGCAGCAUGGUCUUAGCUUGCUAAGGCCGAUGGCGACCGGCGCACGGGUGAGUAACACGUAUCCAACCUGCCGUGUACUCUUGGACAGCCUUCUGAAAGGAAGAUUAAUACAAGAUGGCAUCAUGAGUCCGCAUGUUCACAUGAUUAAAGGUAUUCCGGUAGACGAUGGGGAUGCGUUCCAUUAGAUAGUAGGCGGGGUAACGGCCCACCUAGUCUUCGAUGGAUAGGGGUUCUGAGAGGAAGGUCCCCCACAUUGGAACUGAGACACGGUCCAAACUCCUACGGGAGGCAGCAGUGAGGAAUAUUGGUCAAUGGGCGAGAGCCUGAACCAGCCAAGUAGCGUGAAGGAUGACUGCCCUAUGGGUUGUAAACUUCUUUUAUAAAGGAAUAAAGUCGGGUAUGUAUACCCGUUUGCAUGUACUUUAUGAAUAAGGAUCGGCUAACUCCGUGCCAGCAGCCGCGGUAAUACGGAGGAUCCGAGCGUUAUCCGGAUUUAUUGGGUUUAAAGGGAGCGUAGAUGGAUGUUUAAGUCAGUUGUGAAAGUUUGCGGCUCAACCGUAAAAUUGCAGUUGAUACUGGAUAUCUUGAGUGCAGUUGAGGCAGGCGGAAUUCGUGGUGUAGCGGUGAAAUGCUUAGAUAUCACGAAGAACUCCGAUUG
RNAcentral lists this ribosomal RNA (694 nucleotides) under uncultured bacterium. RNAcentral describes it as "bacterial SSU rRNA". It matches the Rfam family "Bacterial small subunit ribosomal RNA", at positions 32 to 715 of the family's 1533-position model. The record is from RNAcentral.